UUCGCAAUGCCCGAAAGGGUGACGAAGCGACGCCGCGUGGGUGAGGAAGGCCUUCGGGUUGUAAAGCCCUGUCAGGAGUUAAGAAAUGUAGAUUCGCUAAUAUCGGGUCUAUUUGACAAAGGCUCCAAAGGAAGCCACGGCUAACUCUGUGCCAGCAGCCGCGGUAAUACAGAGGUGGCAAGCGUUGUUCGGAAUUAUUGGGCGUAAAGAGCACGUAGGUGGAUUUGUAAGUCAGAUGUGAAAGCCUUCUGUUCAACGGAAGAAUUGCAUCUGAAACUACAAACCUUGAGUGUAGGAGGGGAGAAUGGAACUUCUGGUGGAGCGGUGAAAUGCGUAGAUAUCAGAAGGAACGCCGGCGGCGAAAGCGAUUCUCUGGCCUAUUACUGACACUCAGUGUGCGAAAGCUAGGGGAGCAAACGGGAUUAGAUACCCCGGUAGUCCUAGCCGUAAACGAUGGGCACUAAGUAGAGGGGUUUU
Molecule: ribosomal RNA, 477 nt
Filed under: Candidatus Scalindua brodae
Lineage: Bacteria; Pseudomonadati; Planctomycetota; Candidatus Brocadiia; Candidatus Brocadiales; Candidatus Scalinduaceae
Description: bacterial SSU rRNA
Rfam family: Bacterial small subunit ribosomal RNA
Source: RNAcentral